Molecule: transfer RNA, 72 nt
Filed under: Camelus bactrianus (Bactrian camel)
Lineage: Eukaryota; Metazoa; Chordata; Mammalia; Artiodactyla; Camelidae
Also listed under: 1 other name
Rfam family: tRNA
About the family: Transfer RNA (tRNA) molecules are approximately 80 nucleotides in length. Their secondary structure includes four short double-helical elements and three loops (D, anti-codon, and T loops). Further hydrogen bonds mediate the characteristic L-shaped molecular structure. tRNAs have two regions of fundamental functional importance: the anti-codon, which is responsible for specific mRNA codon recognition, and the 3' end, to which the tRNAs corresponding amino acid is attached (by aminoacyl-tRNA synthetases). tRNAs cope with the degeneracy of the genetic code in two manners: having more than one tRNA (with a specific anti-codon) for a particular amino acid; and 'wobble' base-pairing, i.e. permitting non-standard base-pairing at the 3rd anti-codon position.
Source: Rfam by way of RNAcentral
GCAGGUAUAGCUCAGUGGUAGAGUGUGUGCUUAGCAUGCACAAGGGCCUGGGUUCAAUCCCCAGCACCUCCA